GUGGGGAAUUUUGGACAAUGGGCGCAAGCCUGAUCCAGCAAUGCCGCGUGCAGGAAGAAGGCCUUCGGGUUGUAAACUGCUUUUGUACGGAACGAAACGGUCCGGGUUAAUACCCUGGGCUAAUGACGGUACCGUAAGAAUAAGCACCGGCUAACUACGUGCCAGCAGCCGCGGUAAUACGUAGGGUGCAAGCGUUAAUCGGAAUUACUGGGCGUAAAGCGUGCGCAGGCGGUUUUGUAAGACAGAGGUGAAAUCCCCGGGCUCAACCUAGGAACUGCCUUUGUGACGGCAAGGCUAGAGUACGGCAGAGGGGGAUGGAAUUCCGCGUGUAGCAGUGAAAUGCGUAGAUAUGCGGAGGAACACCGAUGGCGAAGGCAAUCCCCUGGGCCUGUACUGACGCUCAUGCACGAAAGCGUGGGGAGCAAACAGGAUUAGAUACCCCGGUAGUCC
This 450-nucleotide ribosomal RNA is filed under the name uncultured bacterium. RNAcentral describes it as "partial 16S ribosomal RNA". It matches the Rfam family "Bacterial small subunit ribosomal RNA", at positions 354 to 796 of the family's 1533-position model. The record is from RNAcentral.